AACGCUGGCGGCAAGCUUAACACAUGCAAGUCGUGCGAAUUAAUAUUAGCGGCGAACGGGUGAGUAAAAUAUAAGAAUUUGCCUUAUAAUAAAAAAUAGUAUAUAGAAAUAUAUAGUAAUGUUUUAUAAAUCCUAAUGGAUAAAAUACGAGAAAGUCGUAUGUUAUAAGUGAAGCUUAUAUCGGAUUAGCUAGUUGUUAAAUUAAAAGUUUAACAAGGCUGUGAUCCGUAGCUGGUCUGAGAGGAUGAACAGCCACAUUGGGACUGAGACACGGCCCAAACUUCUAAGGAAGGCAGCAGUGGGGAAUAUUGGACAAUGAGCGAAAGCUUGGUCCAGCUAUGUCGCGUGUGUGAAGAAGGCCUUAGGGUUGUAAAACACUUUCAAUAAAGAAAGAAGAAAAAUAAUAAUAAUAAUUAUAUUUUUUUGACGGUAUUUAUAAAAGAAGCACCGGCAAACUUCGUGCCAGCAGCCGCGGUAAUACGAGGGGUGCUAGCGUUAAUCGAAAUUACUGGGCGUAAAGGGUGUGCAGGAUGUUUUAAAAUUUAAUUAUUAAAGCUAAUAAGCAUAACUUAUUAAAAUAAUUAAUAAUUAGAACUUGAGUAUAAAAGAAGAAAAUAGAAUUUUAGGAGUAGCAGUGAAAUGCUUAGAUACUUAGAAGAAUACUAAUGGCGAAGGCAUUUUUCUAUUUUAAUACUGACUCUAAUACACGAAAGCAUAGGGAGCAAACAGGAUUAGAUACCCUGGUAGUCUAUGCAGUAAACGUUGUCAACUAUUUAUUAAUUAACAUAUUUAUUAUUUAAAUUUUAAUGUAUUAAAAAUAUGUAUUAUUAGUGAAAAAGCUAACGCGUUAAGUUGACCGCCUGGGGAUUACGACCGCAAGGUUAAAACUCAAAUGAAUUGACGGGGGCUCGCACAAGCGGUGGAGCAUGUGGUUUAAUUCGAUACAACACGAAAAACCUUACCUACUCUUGACAUCCAAAGAGUUUAUUAGAAAUAAUAAAGUCUUUAUUUUUUAAAGCUUUGUGACAGGUGCUGCAUGGCUGUCGUCAGCUCGUGUUGUGAAACGUUGGGUUAAGUCCUAUAACGAGCGCAACCCUUAUCUUAUAUUAUUAAAAUAAUUUUAAGAAACUGCCAAUGAUAAAUUGGAGGAAGGUGAGGACGACGUCAAGUCAUCAUGGCCCUUAUGAGUAGGGCUACACACGUGCUACAAUGAAUAAUACAAAAAGUAUUGCUAAAUAGUGAUAUUUUGCCAAUCUUAAAAAUUAUUCUUAGUUCGGAUUGAAAUCUGCAACUCGAUUUCAUGAAGUUGGAAUCGCUAGUAAUCGUAAAUCAGAAUGUUACGGUGAAUACGUUCUCGAGCCUUGUACACACCGCCCGUCACACCAUGGAGGUAAUUUGUAUCUUAAAUAAUUUAAAUAUUAUCAAGAUAUGAAUUGUAACUGGGGUGAAGUCGUAACAAGGUAGCUGUAGGGGAACCUGUGGCUGGAU
Molecule: ribosomal RNA, 1488 nt
Filed under: Candidatus Carsonella ruddii
Lineage: Bacteria; Pseudomonadati; Pseudomonadota; Gammaproteobacteria; Oceanospirillales; Halomonadaceae
Description: 16S ribosomal RNA
Rfam family: Bacterial small subunit ribosomal RNA
Source: RNAcentral